GACGAACGCUGGCGGCGUGCCUAAUACAUGCGAGUAGAACGCUGAAGGAGGAGCUUGCUUCUCUGGAUGAGUUGCGAACGGGUGAGUAACGCGUAGGUAACCUGCCUGGUAGUGGGGGAUAACUAUUGGAAACGAUAGCUAAUACCGCAUAAUAGCAGUUGUUGCAUGAUAACUGUUUGAAAGGUGCAAUUGCACCGCUACCAGAUGGACCUGCGUUGUAUUAGCUAGUUGGUGGGGUAACGGCUCACCAAGGCGACGAUACAUAGCCGACCUGAGAGGGUGAUCGGCCACACUGGGACUGAGACACGGCCCAGACUCCUACGGGAGGCAGCAGUAGGGAAUCUUCGGCAAUGGACGGAAGUCUGACCGAGCAACGCCGCGCGAGUGAAGAAGGUUUUCGGAUCGUAAAGCUCUGUUGUAAGAGAAGAACGAGUGUGAGAGUGGAAAGUUCACACUGUGACGGUAUCUUACCAGAAAGGGACGGCUAACUACGUG
Molecule: ribosomal RNA, 495 nt
Filed under: uncultured bacterium
Lineage: Bacteria
Description: partial 16S ribosomal RNA
Rfam family: Bacterial small subunit ribosomal RNA
Source: RNAcentral